CAAAGAGUAGUUUAAUUCAGAAUGCUGGCUUUGGGAGCGAGUGGUCGGGGUGUGAGUCCCUUCUCUUUGA
This is a non-coding RNA of Morone saxatilis (striped sea-bass), 70 nucleotides long. Lineage: Eukaryota; Metazoa; Chordata; Actinopteri; Moronidae. The record is from the annotation of a RefSeq genome assembly.